UACGUAGGUGGCGAGCGUUGUCCGGAAUUACUGGGUGUAAAGGAUGCGUAGGCGGAUGCAUAAGUCAGAUGUGAAAGCCCUGGGCUUAACCUAGGGACUGCAUUUGAAACUGUGAAUCUGGAGUACAGGAGAGGAAAGCAGAAUUUCUGGUGUAGCGGUGAAAUGCGUAGAUAUCAGGAAGAAUACCAGUGGCGAAGGCGGCUUUCUGGACUGUAACUGACGCUGAGGCAUGAAAGCGUGGGGAGCAAACAGG
Molecule: ribosomal RNA, 253 nt
Filed under: uncultured bacterium
Lineage: Bacteria
Description: partial 16S ribosomal RNA
Rfam family: Bacterial small subunit ribosomal RNA
Source: RNAcentral